GUUUUGAGCGGAUGGGUUCCCUGUAGCUUUGCUAGAGCCAGGUAAUCCUCCCUUCUCCUUUCCAUCAUGCCCAUCUCUUAGCUGCUCGCAUUUUCUUCACCUCUGGGUAAAGGGACAGCAGCCUUGAGCUUAUGGAAGAGAUGUACUGCCCUGCCUGGAGAACCCUACCGCACCACAGCUUUUUGGGGGAACUUAGAGAUCGUUUUCUUCUAGCCAUGAACAGCUUACAGACCUUUAUCUGUAAACAAUUAGAUAACAGUAUCCUGACCCUCCUAAGUAACCCAGCCCCAGGAGUCUUUGCUCUGCAUGCUGUGGCUGUGUUCCCCAGAGGAAGGCUGUAGCCUCGAUUAUGGCAGUGACCUGAAAUGCUGGCAGAGAUAGCAUUCCACCUCUUUGCCUUCCCAAGGUCAGAGUUAAAGACUCUUGUACCAAGUAGUCAAAAGCUUCCCCGGAUAAAUUUGAGUCUCCUGAGACCAGUUUUCAGUAUUGGCAUCAUUACAGAAAUAGAGGAUCAUGAAAUAGAAAGUUGUUAAAGUUGGGAUAUAUGCCUACAUGAAUGCUGGGGAGAGCGACACUGUGCUGGCCCCGAGCUGAUGAUUGUUGAGCUGGGGUGAAGCUGGAAUGUUGAUCUGUUGCUAAGUGAUGGGACCUGGGAGAGUAAGGCUGCUGGGUCCUUGCUGACACACCAGCAUGAGCACAACCUGCACAGUCCUCCCAAAGGGUGAUGGGUGCAAGCAAGCUUGGGAAGUUUUGCAGUGGACUUAAUUUUAAAGCCAAGGUGGAAGAACUGCCUGUUUCACAAUUUCCAAGUGCCGAAGAUUGUUUAGGACUUUGGCCCUUUUCUAUCAAGACACUUGCCUCUGAGCUGUUGAUGAAGUGCUGAUGACAUAGUGCAAGACCUCUCCUGAUACCACCCAGAAGCCAAGGAAGACACUGCAUAAAAUAAAUGAAGUGUAAUCUUAAGAUGCAAACAUUUUGCUCUUCUCAUAAUAUACCAGUCUCCCACCAGGAAUUCUGCUGAUUUCAAGUAACACCAAAUGCAGAACAUUAAUGAAUUUAAGCACAGAAUCCUAAUUUAAAUAGCACAGGUGGUGGUGUUUCCUUGUAACACUGUUUUGUGGAAAAAUUAAGAAACUGAUGCAUUAGAGCUCCACCUCUCCAUUGUGAAAGGUAAACAAAAUCAGUGCUGCAGGCAGUCUGUGUUUACAGAGACAAUGCUGGCAAGAAGCUGGGCAAAGAUCCCCUAGUGACUCCCAUUUGUAGUACAUAUCUUCCUCUGCUGGAAUAACUAAUGAAAUAUGUACAGUAUUUAAUGGUACUGAUGAUGAUAGCUGGUUCAUAUGUAGCAUUUUUUCAGAUGUAUGGACUCAGGACAGUAUAAUGCUUUUCAAAAAUCGUCCAGCAAAUCAAUACCAACCCUGGGAACAGAGAUUACCUGUGAUGUGCUUUAAGGGCUACAGAGGUGAUUUUGGAGAGGGAGGGUCAGCAGAGCAGGAAAAUAAGACUAUAGUUAUGAAGGCACUGAAGCACUCAGGUCUUCAGGACAGCUGGAGCCUUUUUGUGGCAUGCAGACAUGGAGAAAUGAUAUCCUUGUGCCAAACAAUUGUAAUGUCAGAGCAUGUAGUAAGGUGAAAAAGAGUAAAGUGAAACCUCAAACAGAAAUAUACUUCUUGAUUCCCACAUCUCAGUCUGUGAGAUGUAUGCAGGUGAAAGUUGUGUCUACAGAGCCCACAAGUUGUGUGACAUGAAGAAAGCCCCCCUGGGCAUGUCAGGCCUUGUGACAUGGACAGAGAGCUGGUGCAGGUACCUUUUGUGUCUUACAGCAGGGCCCCCAGCAGCAUCACCCCCACCUCCUGCACUGGGACCCUGCACCCCAGUUGUGGUGGCUGGCACAACAGGAAGGGGCUGAUAAGCUGCAGCCUGGGGAGGGGAUCAGCGGGAUGAAAAGGAGCCAGGGCUGUGCUGCAAAUGCGUGGGAUAAAGGUGCUGUGAAGAGGCAGCUUGAGAGGGAAUGGGAGAGUGCAAGUCUCGCACCUGCUUUGUUAAACUUGGCAGGUGUGUAGAAGCCAUUUGUCUUUAGUCAUUUAGCAGGUCAGUGGCAGAGCCAGAAAUAGAAUCCAGGUCUCCUGAUCUCCGGGGCCACCACCGUAUCUCCAAAACCAUAUUGCCUCUCCAAAGUUGUUUCAGAACUGUGCAGCUUGCUGUGGGAUUCCUACCCAGCCAGCUCUUUGACAUGGCCAGGCAGGUGCUCUUUCAUCAUUGCACUGCAUUCAAAAUCUGUGACAGCUUCACUUUUCACAAGAGUUAAAAAUGAGUUUUUCAUAUGUGAGGGUCUUUUAGUACUGUAGGAAGAGGCAGAACUGUGAUGCUGGAGAUAAAAUGAGUUAGCACUUCACACUGCAGCUUUCAAGGUGACCUUCACUUAAAAAAAACUUGAAUGUAAAUCAGGAAGUGUUACGUAUUUAUUUGUUUAUGAUUUAGAAAAUGCAGCUUAAAUACACGAUGCUUUAUGGAUACUUAAGAGAAGACCUCUAGGAAGCUUCUGCAUGCCUUCUGACUCACAUAUUAUGCUGCCUAAUGAUGCAAAAUCAUGCAGACCUAGCUAGUGUGGAAAUAAAGCCUGUGAGGAUUUGUAAAGCAAGAGCCUGAGCCAAAGUCCUCUGAAUUCGGUCUGCUGGGGUGUCAAUUAGGUCCUGAAUGUGUUUUUCCUCUCUUCACAUUGGCACUUGGUUCUGACUGCAGCUGUGACCAGCAUCUCACCAGGAGUCUCUAGUUCAGGCCACUUGAUGAACCAAUUCUUCUGCCCUGCUAGGAGGAUUUCUCUUUGACAUGGCGCUGUUUUCUAUGUAGUGCCUUUUCUUUUUAGGCUCAUGUACAUUCCCAAGGAAACGCAACUGCAGCAUUAGCGUUAGGUAUGGCAUGAACAGUCAUGGCUGUAACUUAAAGAGGCUCGUACUUUGCCAUGUCAACGCGAGUUCAACAAUGUAGAGUGGGCAGCAUGGUACAUGGAACACUACAGACAGAACAGUUUGGAAAAUGUUGGCUUUUCUUUCAACAGUGAAGGCUGUGCUCUUGCCUAGCAACCUUUCCACAUCAGCUGUGUGUUUCCCAUUGAAGCGAGGUAUCAGCUGCAGACGUGGUGAGGUGGCAGAGACAGGGCACAGCCUGCAGGCUGCAGAGCUGCAGCCCUCCUGCUGUGCUGUCAUCACAACCAGAGCUGGUUGUUGUAGGGCAAAACCUGGGUCUUUUUUUUUUCUUUCUGAAACAAAAGUAAGCUUGGGGCUACAGUAAAAAUAAAUUUUAAAAAAUCCUGAAGUGCUAAGAGCAGCUGAAACAGCACUUCUGGGAUGGGAUAUUUGUGAUGGUGCUAUCAGGCCUAGCACACUCCCCUGAGAGAGAGCUCAUAUAUCAUUUGCUUUUGCUGUUUUGAAGCCUCUUUUUCACAUUUUAACAGAAUAUUUGUCUCGAUUUGGCAUUUAUUGACUGUUUAAUAUUUAAACACGCUUAAUAAAUCCUGAAAUGAAACCACUGUUGUAUGAACGUGGGCCGUCUAGCCUCAGCGAGGGAAAGCUUCAGCAAUAAAAAGCCAGCAGUCCCAAAGGCCGUGUCAGUGCAAAGAACAGCUUGCUCUGCCCCAGUACUCAUGGUGCAGGCUUGUCUGCAUGCUGCUGCAGUGGGGAAGGUCUCCUGUGGGAACGCCUCCCCUGGGAACUCUGCGCUGCUUUAAGUGAUGGGCUCAGGUGUGGCCUGCAGGCCUGGUCCCCUCGGCUUUGGGCCCCUCUCCCUCCCUAGAGGGUUCCCCCUGUUUCAGGGGAACCUGUAUUGUUGAGCUGUGGUUGAAGGUGAUGGUGAUACGGCCUCUGGCACAGUAGUUUAUAUCACCUCACUGUUAAUCUCCUCACAGAUUUUGUUUUUUGACUUGACACUCUCAGUAGAUCCUUCAGACUGUCUCCAAAGCUGUUAUUUAUCCCUCCCUGGCAGGAGCUGGCUCUCUGCUUUGGCUCCAUUUCAUUGAAGGCAAAUUCCUUGAACCAUAAUGUCACUGCUGGUGUCACUGCAGGUCCAGCAGGUGCAGUGCUUUGAGCAUCUGAAGCUCUGCCUUACCAGGCAAACUAGGACUGUCCAUGUAUUUUUUUUUUUAUUUUUUCUUUUCGGUAAAGAGCUUGCUAGAUCUAAACCCCAUGAGAAGAUGUAGAUCUAGAACCCCUAGAUCUAAUCCAACUCCACUGCAAUGAACAGGGACACCCACAGCU
Molecule: non-coding RNA, 4253 nt
Organism: Meleagris gallopavo (turkey)
Lineage: Eukaryota; Metazoa; Chordata; Aves; Galliformes; Phasianidae
Source: RefSeq, a predicted model, not a curated record